RNAcentral lists this microRNA (21 nucleotides) under Human alphaherpesvirus 2. Its description in RNAcentral is "hsv2-miR-H20". Its record names the gene hsv2-miR-H20. The record is from miRBase by way of RNAcentral. Lineage: Duplodnaviria; Heunggongvirae; Peploviricota; Herviviricetes; Herpesvirales; Orthoherpesviridae.
UUUGGUUACGGACCCCUUUCU